GUAAAAUAAUUUGCAUGACUGUAAUGUUUCAAGCUGUAGUUGAUUGAAUCCACGGAUGCAGAACACAUGGAUUUGGAGGGCCAACUGUAGUGUUUUGGAUGAUGAUCAGAGUUGCGGAGAAAAAGAAGAAUGAGAAGAAGGAGAGUUUCAGGGAUAUUGAAAAUUUAAAUUAGAUAUCCCUCAAGAUUCCCGGUCCCUGUACAAAAACAGAUUCUUCCACUUACUCAACCAAACACUGAUCUAGGUACAGAUGGAAAGCUAUGUUGCUGCUGUAACUAAGAAUCUUAAUCAGUUUACUUUAAAAUAGAGAGCUAUCCAGUGGACCUGACCUUAUAACCUGAGCCCUCUAAAAGGAGGAUAGUAUUUUUGGCCGUUUUCAGAAAAGGAAGUCAAAGCUUUAAAGAGAUGGAUUCAACGUACAAAAAUUUCUCUAUUGUUGGCUCUCAAGAAGGAGGGAGCUGCAUGAUAAGGAACACAGAACAUCUUUGGGAGCUGAGAGAAGCCCUUAGCUAAAAGCCAGCCAGGGAAGGGGCUCUCAAUCCUGUGACUGCAAGGAACUAAAUUCUACCACAACCACGUGAACCUGAAAGAGGACCCUGAGUUACACAAGAAAAUGUUGACUGACAAGUUGACUUCAGCUUGUGAGAAUAAGUAGAAAACCUAGGCACAACACGCCUGGACUUCUGACCUAUAGAACUAUGAGCUAAUAAAUGGGUAUUGUUUUAAGCCACUAA
Molecule: long non-coding RNA, 734 nt
Organism: Homo sapiens (human)
Lineage: Eukaryota; Metazoa; Chordata; Mammalia; Primates; Hominidae
Source: Ensembl